RNAcentral lists this ribosomal RNA (368 nucleotides) under uncultured organism. RNAcentral describes it as "bacterial SSU rRNA". It matches the Rfam family "Bacterial small subunit ribosomal RNA", at positions 526 to 896 of the family's 1533-position model. The record is from RNAcentral.
CGGAGGGUGCAAGCGUUGUCCGGAUUUAUUGGGUUUAAAGGGUGCGUAGGCGGUCUUUUUAGUCAGUGGUGAAAUCCUGCAGCUCAACUGUAGAACAGCCAUUGAUACUGAAAGACUUGAGUACAGACGAGGUAGGCGGAAUUUAUGGUGUAGCGGUGAAAUGCAUAGAUACCACAAAGAACCCCUAUUGCGAAGGCAGCUUACUAGGCUGUAACUGACGCUGAGGCACGAAAGCGUGGGGAUCAAACAGGAUUAGAUACCCUGGUAGUCCACGCCGUAAACGAUGAUUACUCGAUGUUCGCGAUAUACAGUGAGCGUCCAAGCGAAAGCGUUAAGUAAUCCACCUGGGAAGUACGAUCGCAAGAUUG